GCCAAGGCUGAACAGCUUGGCACUUCGGGCGCCGGCGGGUGUCCGGCGCUCUCAUAUCCAUGUUGCUCACUGGAGGAUGUGGCUAUGAGAU
RNAcentral lists this small RNA (91 nucleotides) under Methylobacterium nodulans ORS 2060. RNAcentral's name for it is "Repression of heat shock gene expression (ROSE) element". It matches the Rfam family "Repression of heat shock gene expression (ROSE) element". From Rfam's summary of the family: This family represents a 5' UTR cis-regulatory element found in heat shock mRNAs and is known as the ROSE (repression of heat shock gene expression) element. The ROSE element is a negative regulator of heat shock gene expression. The secondary structure is thought to be regulated by temperature. The record is from Rfam by way of RNAcentral. Lineage: Bacteria; Pseudomonadati; Pseudomonadota; Alphaproteobacteria; Hyphomicrobiales; Methylobacteriaceae.